AUGGCUCCUUGCCACCUUCACCCUGUCCUCCUGCUCCUGGCCGUGGCCGAGAACAACUACACCGACGGCAGUGACUACGAGAUCAGCCUCGACCAACUCCUCCACGACCUUCGUGACGGCGCGAUCCGGAAUGGCAGCUUCUUCGAGACCAAUUACGGCAAGUAUCCCAACAGGGUAUAUGGUCAGGCGAUGUGCUACGUCGACUGCGAGCGCACACAGUGCGAGCUCUGCUUGAAGGCGGCGCCGUCGUACGUAAUGACCAAAGGGUGCCCGUACAGCCGGCAGGCCGCCAUCAUGUAUAACUGCUGCUAUCAGCGCUACUCAGACGAGGAAUUUUCUGGCCACGCCGACUUGUUCCAUGGUGGGUUCAACUUCAUACGUCCCGGGAGCUACGGCGAUGCCAUGAACGAGACGAGGUGGAAUCUGGUAACCCAGCUCAUGGCGGAGGCCGCUGGGUCGCCGCGGCGGUUUGCCACCCGGAGCCAGACAUACGUGGACGAGCACGGCGACUCCCAGGUGAUGUACGGCCUGGUGCAGUGCUCCAUGGACUUGUCGGCGACCGAGUGCACCAGCUGCCUUACAGCUGACUUGCCUCAGCGCCGCCCAAAACGACGGCUCAUCUUGGCGGUGUGUGCCGCGGUCACUGGUUCCGUCCUAGUCUUGAUCUGCGUUAGCAUCUCAGUGCGGCUCUUUUUGCACCGACAAGAGACGACUCCCUGCCGGGUGAAUAAAGGAGACGGCGAGGCCAUGGAAGACGAGUUCAGGAAAUUAGGGACUGGGUCCAGGCAAUUCCGCUACCGCGAGCUGGCAGCUGCAACCGACAACUUCUCAGACAACAGAAAACUCGGGGAAGGUGGGUUUGGCUCAAUGUACAAAGGGUUCUUGAAGGAUUUGAGAAUUGAGGUGGCUAUCAAGAGAGUGUCCAAGGGCUCCAAGCAGGGGAGGAAGGAGUACGCCUCUGAGGUGAGGGUCAUAAGUCGGCUUCGGCACCGCAGCCUCGUGCAGAUCGUUGGCUGGUGCCACGCCGGCGGCGAGCUCCUCCUGGUCUAUGAGCUGAUGCCCAACAGCAGCCUCGAUGUUCACCUUCACGGCUCGGACAAUGUACUAUGGUGGCCUGUCAGGUCAGAUGACUUUAAUUUAGCUGCCGUUUUUUGGAAUCCUCGUGUCACCAGUUCAAAUCUGCUCGACGCCACCAUGGACGACAAUAGUGGUUGCCUCCCUUCCGCCAUGACUUCCUGGAACGACGGGGUAUUGAGCUCAGACUCUGACUGCGACAUCACUAGCAUGGACCUGGGGCAGUGGGUGAGAUCAGGGAUUAAAACUAUUGUUGGUGUUGUGGAUGCAGGAGACCCCUGA
This 1356-nucleotide ribosomal RNA is filed under the name Triticum aestivum (bread wheat). RNAcentral's name for it is "partial small subunit ribosomal RNA". The record is from RNAcentral. Lineage: Eukaryota; Viridiplantae; Streptophyta; Magnoliopsida; Poales; Poaceae.